CCACAGACUUCUCGUGAACAUGAAGUCUGAAGUGUUUUAGGGAGCUUAAUUUCUAACAGCGUUAAAAUGUUCUUGGUAGCUACAAUGCAAACCGUUGGACAAAAAGCUAUCAUGUGGUUUCCAGAUCAGAAAAAAAAUUGGAAGAGAAAAAACCCAGAAAUAGCAAGGGAGGGUGGGGAGGGAAGGACAAGAUAGCGAAUACUGAACUUGAAAUUUUAGCUUUUCGUUUUAGGAAAAGUGUGAUAAAUGUGUUUCUUUUCUCUUCUGAAAUAUAGCUUGGUCAUGACCAUAUGAGCUAGUUGGCUGUUACUCAUGUACACAGAUGCACGCACACACAGAAAUACAUCGACACGCAUCCUUUAAAAAAAAAAAAUAA
Long non-coding RNA from Neopsephotus bourkii (Bourke's parrot), 376 nucleotides. RefSeq lists it as uncharacterized. The record is from RefSeq and is a predicted model, not a curated record. The transcript has 2 exons. NCBI's taxonomy places the organism in Eukaryota, Metazoa, Chordata, Aves, Psittaciformes, Psittacidae.